Molecule: long non-coding RNA, 150 nt
Organism: Dermacentor silvarum
Lineage: Eukaryota; Metazoa; Arthropoda; Arachnida; Ixodida; Ixodidae
Exons: 3
Source: RefSeq, a predicted model, not a curated record
GCGAGUGCGAGUGAGUGCCAGUGAGUGUGAGUGCAGGUGAGUGCAAGUGAGUGCCAGUGAGUGUGAGUGCAGGUGAGUGCGAGUGCGAGUGAGUGCCAGUGAGUGCGAGUGCGAGUGAGUGCCUGUGAGUGUGAGUGGAGAUGAGUGCGA